GACGAAUCUAUUGUCCGCCGAGCCUGGCACUUACCGGUGUCAGGGGAGGGCGGCGAAAAGAGGAAUCU
Non-coding RNA from Comamonas testosteroni CNB-2, 68 nucleotides. NCBI's taxonomy places the organism in Bacteria, Pseudomonadati, Pseudomonadota, Betaproteobacteria, Burkholderiales, Comamonadaceae. The record is from Rfam.